This 345-nucleotide unclassified non-coding RNA is filed under the name uncultured fungus. Its description in RNAcentral is "partial contains 5.8S ribosomal RNA and internal transcribed spacer 2". The stretch from base 1 to 133 matches the Rfam family "5.8S ribosomal RNA", at positions 22 to 154 of the family's 154-position model. Lineage: Eukaryota; Fungi. The record is from RNAcentral.
UGGUUCUGGCAUCGAUGAAGAACGCAGCGAAAUGCGAUAAGUAAUGUGAAUUGCAGAAUUCAGUGAAUCAUCGAGUUUUUGAACGCACAUGGCGCCCCUCGGUAUUCCGGGGGGCGUGCCUGUUCGAGCGUCAGUAAAAAUCUAUCAAACUAAACGUUUGGAUUUGGAGGCUUCAGGCGCCCGUGAAAAGGCGCCCCUCCGAAAGAAUUAGGCGAUCGUUCCAGACGUCGAGCGUACCAAGGUUUUUCUCAAAAUCACACGUUCCAUGGCAGCUGGAUUGACGGUUUGCCCCUAAUACCCAUUACUUUCAGGAUUGACCUCGAAUCAGGUAGGGAUACCCGCUGA